GCCUCCUAUUUUCAGCGGAAUGUGAUUCAGGAAGAUACAUUCCACCCUCCUGGAAAUCGGAAAUAGGACCCGUGCUUUCACAAACAUUAAGUUCCAUCUUCCCUAAAACUUUAUUGCAAUUCCCCAGGAAUGGAUCACAGAGCUAUUUCUUCCUCCAGGUUUGUAGAUUUGUAAGUUGAGUCAUAGGGCAGGAGUACCUUUUUUUAUUUUAUAUAGGCUAAAAAUUUGUUGGAGAAGAUUAGUGAUCUGGAGAGGGGAAAAAAAAGAAGAACAAGAAGGAGAUGAAGAAGGGGAGGAAGAAGAGAAAGAAAGACAAAAGGAAGCCAACCCUAAUCCUUGAAUUCUACAAACUACUAACAAUUAGUCAAAAGUGCCUACUUGGAUUUCAAUACCUGACAUGCCUUUGAGUGUUGAAGAAUUAAAUGUUUUAUUCUGGUAUUGUUUUUUGAUGUCAUUUAUUUUUAACCUAUACUUGCCCCUAUCAAGAUCAUUCUCAGUUGAUAGUAAGAAAAAUAUGUAAUGUUGUUGCUAAUUUAUCUUGCAUUAGGUAAUUGAUUAUUUCAAAAGAGCAUUCUU
Long non-coding RNA from Homo sapiens (human), 576 nucleotides. The record is from Ensembl. Lineage: Eukaryota; Metazoa; Chordata; Mammalia; Primates; Hominidae.